GACAGAGGGUGCAAACGUUGUUCGGAAUUACUGGGCGUAAAGCGCGUGUAGGCGGCAGGGUGUGUCGGAUGUGAAAUCCCGUGGCUCAACCACGGAAGUGCACCCGAAACUACCCAGCUCGAGUCUCGGAGAGGAAGGUGGAAUGCUUGGUGUAGAGGUGAAAUUCGUAGAUAUCAAGCGGAACACCGGUGGCGAAGGCGAGUUCCUGGACAAGUCCUGACACUGAGGCACGAAAGCCGGGGGAGCAAACAGG
This 253-nucleotide ribosomal RNA is filed under the name uncultured bacterium. RNAcentral's name for it is "partial 16S ribosomal RNA". It matches the Rfam family "Bacterial small subunit ribosomal RNA", at positions 524 to 776 of the family's 1533-position model. The record is from RNAcentral.